CAAAAAUAUAAAAUAAAACUAUAGUCGUCUCUAAUCUCUUUACUCGUGUUCAAAUGACGUCUUUGCGUCACUUUGGAGCCAUUAAUUCAUAUUUCAUACUAAUGGCGACUUUCAAAACCACUUAAUGCAGGAAUCUCUCUGGGCGGUGUUUAUUGGAUUUAACGAGACAGCUAAGACAAAAGAAUAAUCUAUCGGGCCGGGAUGGGAACCGGGUCCUGCAAAACACGGCGUCGUCGGAGCCGGACAUUCCCUAUGGAGGAGAAGUCUGGUCUUUUCGCCGAGGCCAGUCUGUCGCUGGAGGGUUCCUGUUGCCUGCAGAUCCGGGACACUCAAAUUAAAGCGGCUGAAGGCUCCCGCAGGGGUUUUGCUCCGUAUUGCACUCCCAAGUGCUGGAGCCAGCAUACGGUCUAGAAAUGCCUAUCCGGACAUCCUGGAUAUCACCCGUAAAUGAGUAUAGUAGUUCUAUUCAAAUAAAGAACAUUUUUGAUUUUGAUAUUAUUUAAAACAG
This 508-nucleotide unclassified non-coding RNA is filed under the name Melitaea cinxia (Glanville fritillary). RNAcentral's name for it is "misc RNA ENSMCXG00005008653.1". The record is from RNAcentral. Lineage: Eukaryota; Metazoa; Arthropoda; Insecta; Lepidoptera; Nymphalidae.